Molecule: long non-coding RNA, 200 nt
Filed under: Elaeis guineensis (African oil palm)
Lineage: Eukaryota; Viridiplantae; Streptophyta; Magnoliopsida; Arecales; Arecaceae
Description: long non-coding RNA (EGUI_LNC011966)
Source: RNAcentral
UAUAAGGGAGUGGCUAGUCAUGCCCUGUCAGUUUGGAAGGAGUGCCCCAAGAUGUCCGAUUUGCUCAUUCGAGCCCUGAGCGAGUUUCACUCCAUCGUCAAUCUCACUUCUCAACUAGCGAGCGAAGUAAGGAGUGCGAAUUUGCUCCUUCCUCUUCUCUUUCACUUUCUUUUUUCUUGCAACACUCGUCCGUGAGCAGA